This 626-nucleotide ribosomal RNA is filed under the name Bacillus sp. (in: firmicutes). RNAcentral's name for it is "bacterial SSU rRNA". It matches the Rfam family "Bacterial small subunit ribosomal RNA", at positions 55 to 662 of the family's 1533-position model. Lineage: Bacteria; Bacillati; Bacillota; Bacilli; Caryophanales; Bacillaceae. The record is from RNAcentral.
AUGCAAGUCGAGCGGAGCUUUUAAAGCUUGCUUUUGAAAGGUCAGCGGCGGACGGGUGAGUAACACGUGGGCAACCUGCCUGUAAGACUGGGAUAACUUCGGGAAACCGGAGCUAAUACCGGAUAAUAUAAGGAACCUCCUGGUUCUUUAUUGAAAGAUGGUUUCGGCUAUCACUUACAGAUGGGCCCGCGGCGCAUUAGCUAGUUGGUGAGGUAAUGGCUCACCAAGGCGACGAUGCGUAGCCGACCUGAGAGGGUGAUCGGCCACACUGGGACUGAGACACGGCCCAGACUCCUACGGGAGGCAGCAGUAGGGAAUCUUCCACAAUGGACGAAAGUCUGAUGGAGCAACGCCGCGUGAGCGAUGAAGGCCUUCGGGUCGUAAAGCUCUGUUGUUAGGGAAGAACAAGUGCGAGAGUAACUGCUUGCACCUUGACGGUACCUAACCAGAAAGCCACGGCUAACUACGUGCCAGCAGCCGCGGUAAUACGUAGGUGGCAAGCGUUGUCCGGAAUUAUUGGGCGUAAAGCGCGCGCAGGUGGUCCUUUAAGUCUGAUGUGAAAGCCCACGGCUCAACCGUGGAGGGUCAUUGGAAACUGGGGGGACUUGAGUGCAAAAGAGGAGAGU